RNAcentral lists this ribosomal RNA (253 nucleotides) under uncultured bacterium. Its description in RNAcentral is "partial 16S ribosomal RNA". It matches the Rfam family "Bacterial small subunit ribosomal RNA", at positions 524 to 776 of the family's 1533-position model. The record is from RNAcentral.
UACGGGGGGGGCAAGCGUUGUUCGGAAUUACUGGGCGUAAAGGGCUCGUAGGCGGCCCUCUCAGUCGGAUGUGAAAUCCCCAGGCUUAACUUGGGAACGGCAUCCGAUACUGGAGGGCUUGAAUUCGGGAGAGGGAUGCAGAAUUCCAGGUGUAGCGGUGAAAUGCGUAGAUAUCUGGAGGAAUACCGGUGGCGAAGGCGGCAUCCUGGACCGAGAUUGACGCUGAGGAGCGAAAGCUAGGGGAGCAAACGGG